Molecule: long non-coding RNA, 792 nt
Organism: Homo sapiens (human)
Lineage: Eukaryota; Metazoa; Chordata; Mammalia; Primates; Hominidae
Source: Ensembl
AGAAUCCUGCAAUAUGUCCUUGGAAGGUCUCUGCUGAAAAUUUCAAUGCCUCCUGCAAAAAGAAGGAAGAGAAAGAAAAGGAGAAAACAGAGGCAGAGGAUCUUUCCCUAGAAGAGAUUCUGUGAAACGCUCCCUCUUAUGGAAACACACAUAAAGUCUCUCUCUUGCCUGUCUCCCGUUGAAGAUCAACCAGUUCUCCUGCCAGGUUUGAGGACCCGGGCUCAGGCCCCGGCAGGUAUCCGGGAUGGUCCCUCUCCCUAACCCGGGCAAGGAGCAUCGGUGACCGCUGCAAGCCCUCGGCAGCAUCCCAGCUUGGCAGCCCCUCCCCCUGGCCUCCCCAACCCGGCGCCCUGGGGAGGAUGGGGCACUUACAGGCGGCGGCUGAGACCCUCCACCGAGCGCCCGCAGGAGGGCACCGCGUAGCUCAGCAGGAACACCGCGACGCUCCACUGCUGAACCAGUCUCCGCUGCAUCGUCUCCGCUCGCGCUCGGGACCUGCAACAGAAGGGAAUGGGACCCGAGUGUCAGUCUGGACUCUCCAUCUCCCCGCACUACUCCGCUCCCCCUUUUUAGCCCGCUCUCAAAAAGCCUCUUCAACAUCAAGGGCAUCUCCCAAGUUGAAAAGAAAAAAAAUUUCUCUGGAGCCUCUCAGCACUUACUUAUUUAGCAACCGGCUACUCCAACUGUGCUUUCUCCAAACCACACAGCCAGAAAGAGCAAAAAGGGAAAAAAGAAACAAAUCAGAGGCGCUUCCUCUGAAAUAAUAGCGAAAAUAAAAUGGUUUUAUAUAUG